GACGAACGCUGGCGGCGUGCCUAAUACAUGCAAGUAGAACGCACAGUUUAUACCGUAGCUUGCUACACCAUAGACUGUGAGUUGCGAACGGGUGAGUAACGCGUAGGUAACCCGCCUGGUAGCGGGGGAUAACUAUUGGAAACGAUAGCUAAUACCGCAUAAUAUUAAUUAUUGCAUGAUAAUUAAUUGAAAGGUGCAAUUGCACCACUACCAGAUGGACCUGCGUUGUAUUAGCUAGUAGGUGAGGUAACGGCUCACCUAGGCGACGAUACAUAGCCGACCUGAGAGGGUGAUCGGCCACACUGGGACUGAGACACGGCCCAGACUCCUACGGGAGGCAGCAGUAGGGAAUCUUCGGCAAUAGACGAAAGUCUGACCGAGCAACGCCGCGUGAGUGAAGAAGGUUUUCGGAUCGUAAAGCUCUGUUGUAAGAGAAGAACGGGUGUGAGAGUGGAAAGUUCACACUGUGACGGUAUCUUACCAGAAAGGGACGGCUAACUACGUG
This 505-nucleotide ribosomal RNA is filed under the name uncultured bacterium. RNAcentral describes it as "partial 16S ribosomal RNA". It matches the Rfam family "Bacterial small subunit ribosomal RNA", at positions 28 to 507 of the family's 1533-position model. The record is from RNAcentral.